GAUGAACGCUGGCGGCGUGCCUAAUACAUGCAAGUCGAGCGAACAGACGAGGAGCUUGCUCCUCUGACGUUAGCGGCGGACGGGUGAGUAACACGUGGAUAACCUACCUAUAAGCCUGGGAUAACUUCGGGAAACCGGAGCUAAUACCGGAUAAUAUAUUGAACCGCAUGGUUCAAUAGUGAAAGACGGUUUUGCUGUCACUUAUAGAUGGAUCCGCGCCGCAUUAGCUAGUUGGUAAGGUAACGGCUUACCAAGGCAACGAUGCGUAGCCGACCUGAGGGGGUGAUCGGCCACACUGGAACUGAGACACGGUCCAGACUCCUACGGGAGGCAGCAGUAGGGAAUCUUCCGCAAUGGGCGAAAGCCUGACGGAGCAACGCCGCGUGAGUGAUGAAGGUCUUCGGAUCGUAAAACUCUGUUAUUAGGGAAGAACAAAUGUGUAAGUAACUAUGCACGUCUUGACGGUACCGAAUCAGAAAGCCACGGCUAACUACGUG
RNAcentral lists this ribosomal RNA (497 nucleotides) under uncultured bacterium. Its description in RNAcentral is "partial 16S ribosomal RNA". It matches the Rfam family "Bacterial small subunit ribosomal RNA", at positions 28 to 507 of the family's 1533-position model. The record is from RNAcentral.